This 152-nucleotide ribosomal RNA is filed under the name Cladonia coccifera. Its description in RNAcentral is "5.8S ribosomal RNA". It matches the Rfam family "5.8S ribosomal RNA". From Rfam's summary of the family: 5.8S ribosomal RNA (5.8S rRNA) is a component of the large subunit of the eukaryotic ribosome. It is transcribed by RNA polymerase I as part of the 45S precursor that also contains 18S and 28S rRNA. Lineage: Eukaryota; Fungi; Ascomycota; Lecanoromycetes; Lecanorales; Cladoniaceae. The record is from RNAcentral.
CUUUCAACAACGGAUCUCUUGGUUCUGGCAUCGAUGAAGAACGCAGCGAAAUGCGAUAAGUAAUGUGAAUUGCAGAAUUCAGUGAAUCAUCGAAUCUUUGAACGCACAUUGCGCCCCUCGGUAUUCCGGGGGGCAUGCCUGUUCGAGCGUCG